RNAcentral lists this transfer RNA (71 nucleotides) under Deltaproteobacteria bacterium. RNAcentral describes it as "tRNA-Cys". It matches the Rfam family "tRNA". Rfam says of the family: Transfer RNA (tRNA) molecules are approximately 80 nucleotides in length. Their secondary structure includes four short double-helical elements and three loops (D, anti-codon, and T loops). The record is from RNAcentral. Lineage: Bacteria; Pseudomonadati; Myxococcota; Myxococcia.
GGCACGGUCGCCAAGUGGUAAGGCAGCAGUCUGCAAAACUGCUAUCGCGGGUUCGAUUCCCGCCCGUGCCU